UGUAUAUCUUGGAGGAAAGACGAGACAGGGGGGAUAUGAUAGAAAUAUUUAAAUACAUUAAGGGAAUCAACACAGUAAAGGAGGAGACCAUAUUUAAAAGAAGAAAAACUACCACAACAAGAGGACAUAGUCUUAAAUUAGAGGGGCAAAGGUUUAAAAAUAAUAUCAGGAAGUAUUACUUUACUGAGAGGGUAGUGGAUGC
Pelobates cultripes (western spadefoot toad) is the source of this 202-nucleotide non-coding RNA. The record is from the annotation of a GenBank genome assembly. NCBI's taxonomy places the organism in Eukaryota, Metazoa, Chordata, Amphibia, Anura, Pelobatidae.